ACGGAGGGUGCAAGCGUUAAUCGGAAUUACUGGGCGUAAAGCGCACGCAGGCGGUUUGUUAAGUCAGAUGUGAAAUCCCCGGGCUCAACCUGGGAACUGCAUUUGAAACUGGCAAGCUAGAGUCUCGUAGAGGGGGGUAGAAUUCCAGGUGUAGCGGUGAAAUGCGUAGAGAUGUGGAGGAAUACCGAUGGCGAAGGCAGCCCCCUGGGCGAAUACUGACGCUCAGGUGCGAAAGCGUGGGGAGCAAACAG
RNAcentral lists this ribosomal RNA (251 nucleotides) under uncultured prokaryote. RNAcentral's name for it is "partial 16S rRNA". It matches the Rfam family "Bacterial small subunit ribosomal RNA", at positions 525 to 775 of the family's 1533-position model. The record is from RNAcentral.